RNAcentral lists this ribosomal RNA (329 nucleotides) under uncultured eukaryote. Its description in RNAcentral is "partial 18S ribosomal RNA". It matches the Rfam family "Eukaryotic small subunit ribosomal RNA", at positions 1470 to 1796 of the family's 1831-position model. The record is from RNAcentral.
CCCUUAGAUGUUCUGGGCCGCACGCGUGCUACACUGACCGGCGCAACAAGUUUCUUUCCUUGGCUCGAUAGGCCUGGGUAAUCUUUGAACGCCGGUCGUGAUGGGGAUAGAUCCUUGCAAUUUUUGAUCUUCAACGAGGAAUUCCUAGUAAAUGCGAGUCAUCAUCUCGCGUUGAUUACGUCCCUGCCCUUUGUACACACCGCCCGUCGCUACUACCGAUUGAACGUUUUAGUGAGGUAUUUGGACUGGACCUUCGGAGGUUCGCGCCUCCGUUGCUGUUCGGGAAGACUCCCAAACUUGAGCGUUUAGAGGAAGUAAAAGUCGUAACA